RNAcentral lists this ribosomal RNA (839 nucleotides) under uncultured Halomonas sp. RNAcentral describes it as "bacterial SSU rRNA". It matches the Rfam family "Bacterial small subunit ribosomal RNA", at positions 372 to 1204 of the family's 1533-position model. The record is from RNAcentral. Lineage: Bacteria; Pseudomonadati; Pseudomonadota; Gammaproteobacteria; Oceanospirillales; Halomonadaceae.
UGGGGGCACCCUGAUCAGCCAUGCCGCGUGUGUGAAGAAGGCCCUCGGGUUGUAAAGCACUUUCAGCGAGGAAGAACGCCUAGCGGUUAAUACCCGCUAGGAAAGACAUCACUCGCAGAAGAAGCACCGGCUAACUCCGUGCCAGCAGCCGCGGUAAUACGGAGGGUGCAAGCGUUAAUCGGAAUUACUGGGCGUAAAGCGCGCGUAGGUGGCUUGAUAAGCCGGUUGUGAAAGCCCCGGGCUCAACCUGGGAACGGCAUCCGGAACUGUCAAGCUAGAGUGCAGGAGAGGAAGGUAGAAUUCCCGGUGUAGCGGUGAAAUGCGUAGAGAUCGGGAGGAAUACCAGUGGCGAAGGCGGCCUUCUGGACUGACACUGACACUGAGGUGCGAAAGCGUGGGUAGCAAACAGGAUUAGAUACCCUGGUAGUCCACGCCGUAAACGAUGUCGACCAGCCGUUGGGUGCCUAGCGCACUUUGUGGCGAAGUUAACGCGAUAAGUCGACCGCCUGGGGAGUACGGCCGCAAGGUUAAAACUCAAAUGAAUUGACGGGGGCCCGCACAAGCGGUGGAGCAUGUGGUUUAAUUCGAUGCAACGCGAAGAACCUUACCUACUCUUGACAUCCUGCGAAUUUGGUAGAGAUACCUUAGUGCCUUCGGGAACGCAGAGACAGGUGCUGCAUGGCUGUCGUCAGCUCGUGUUGUGAAAUGUUGGGUUAAGUCCCGUAACGAGCGCAAUCCUUGUCCUUAUUUGCCAGCGCGUAAUGGCGGGAACUCUAAGGAGACUGCCGGUGACAAACCGGAGGAAGGGUGGGGACGACGUCAAGUCAUCAUGGCCCUUA